Molecule: transfer RNA, 90 nt
Filed under: Aliisedimentitalea sp. MJ-SS2
Lineage: Bacteria; Pseudomonadati; Pseudomonadota; Alphaproteobacteria; Rhodobacterales; Roseobacteraceae
Description: tRNA-Ser
Rfam family: tRNA
About the family: Transfer RNA (tRNA) molecules are approximately 80 nucleotides in length.
Source: RNAcentral
GGAGGAGUGGCAGAGUGGUCGAAUGCACCGGUCUUGAAAACCGGCGAGGGUUAACGCCCUCCGUGGGUUCGAAUCCCACCUCCUCCGCCA